Molecule: ribosomal RNA, 398 nt
Filed under: uncultured bacterium
Lineage: Bacteria
Description: partial 16S ribosomal RNA
Rfam family: Bacterial small subunit ribosomal RNA
Source: RNAcentral
AUACGUAGGGUGCGAGCGUUGUCCGGAAUUACUGGGCGUAAAGAGCUCGUAGGUGGUUUGUCGCGUCGUCUGUGAAAUUCCGGGGCUUAACUCCGGGCGUGCAGGCGAUACGGGCAUAACUUGAGUACUGUAGGGGAGACUGGAAUUCCUGGUGUAGCGGUGAAAUGCGCAGAUAUCAGGAGGAACACCGGUGGUGAAGGCGGGGCUCUGGGCAGUAACGGACGCUGAGGAGCGAAAGCAUGGGUAGCGAACAGGAUUAGAUACCCUGGUAGUCCAUGCCGUAAACGGUGGGCGCUAGGUGUAGGGGUCUUCCACGACUUCUGUGCCGUAGCUAACGCAUUAAGCGCCCCGCCUGGGGAGUACGGCCGCAAGGCUAAAACUCAAAUGAAUUGACGGGG